This 121-nucleotide ribosomal RNA is filed under the name Keissleriella pleurospora. RNAcentral describes it as "Pleurophoma pleurospora partial 28S ribosomal RNA". Lineage: Eukaryota; Fungi; Ascomycota; Dothideomycetes; Pleosporales; Lentitheciaceae. The record is from RNAcentral.
GUUGACCUCGGAUCAGGUAGGGAUACCCGCGCGCAGCACAUUGCGCUUCUGGAGGCUCCGGCGGAUCGGCGUCCAUCAAGUCCACACCCACAGUUGACCUCGGAUCAGGUAGGGAUACCCG